UUUUUUUUUUUUUUAUUGUUGAGUGGCAUCGUCCUGAGCGUGUCUUGCAACAGUUUGGACUCAUAUAGGGUAUUCCUUCGACACCCCCUAUAGAUGUUGACCUUCACUCCAUAGAUCGACGUGGUCGACCUUAGUUUGAUUGGAGAUUGUAUCAUCAACACUACGUGGCAUUAUGGAAGGCUAGGGAGAAUCACAUUGUCACUACGGAGCCUAUAGAGCCUCAUAUGGACUACCAUGCUCCGUACAUGACAUGGUAUCGUCGUUUUAUUACACCUAUGGAUGAUUUUGGACCUAUGCAGUACCAGGCUACUGUCUUAUCUGCCCACUUAUUGGUUUGUAUCACUUUAAUAUUAUGUACAUAUUGUGUAUAAUAUUUAUUCCAACAAAUAAUUAUAUAUCAUUUUUAUGUGACAGAUUGAGACUAUGGCAUCUAUCAUAUCUCGAGGAGGUCAUGCAUUAGAGGACUCUGAUAGUGAUGCUUGCCGCACUGGUAUUGUUGAUAUUAUUCGUAUGGCCACUGAUGUUAUGUGCAUUAUUCGGGAGAAUUAUCGUAUCCCACAUGUAGAGCAUGGAGAAGGUAGGUCACCCGCUUAGUCGACAGUUGCUCUACCACCACUUGUUCGAGGUCGGUCGACAUCUCGAAUGAGAGGUAGAUUUAGUAGUUGUCAGCCCAUCACAUCGUCAGUAUCAGCAUCAUUAUAGUCUCCUACCUUUUUAUCAUCACAAUUAGUACAGUCACCCAUCUCUUCAGACGUAGCAUCAGUGCAACACCCUACUUAUUUAGACCUACCAUCAGUGCAACCCUUUACCUCUUUAGACCCACCAUUAGUACAACUUCCUAUUUUAUUUAGACUUAUCUCCAGUUCAGGCUCCUACUUCUUCAAACCCACCAUCAGCCCAACCUCUUACUUCCUCAGACCCACCAUCAGUGCAGAUUGACACAUCUACUCAGCUAGAUUUACCGCCAGCCAUUCCGAGGGGUAGGCAGGGCCUACGUCGACCUAGAUUGCUACCUCCACCACUACCUCUAUUUCCAGUUCCAGCCCCAUCACAGACAGAUGUUCUUCAUGUGUCACAUGCAAUAUCUGCUACAGUUAGAGAGGAGCAUCCAAAAAGGAAGAGAGUACCAGUUACACAUAAGUUCUCUCCUUAUGUAGGCAUAUGAGAUUAUAUAUGUUUUUAUUUUCCACUAUAUUAAUGUUUAGUGGAUAUUUUUUGUGACUUUAAUUAAACUAUUAAAAAUUACAUUUUGUAAUAGACUUUUUGUAAUUAAUUUCAUUAACUAAUUUUGUAAAAAAAUCUAUAUAUGACAACUACGGCUUAAGAGUAUACUAUUAUUUCGAUAAAGAUAAAUUUGUCAUAAUACAAAUAAAUUAAUAUCUUAAAAAAUAAUAAAUUAAAUAUUUUAAAUUAAUAAAUUAUACAAUUUUAUAUAUUAUUUAUAUGUUAUAUAAGUUUAUUAUUUUAAGAUUAUUAAUUUAUUAAUAAAUAAAACAUUCAUUUAUAAUGUCUUCUAUUUAUUAAUUUAUGUUUGUUGAACUAAUAUUAGAUUUUUAAGUUUAAAUAUAAAUAAUUUAUUAUUUAAGUAUGUUUUUUAAAUUUCAAUAAUAAAUUAUAAUUCGAUAGUUUUUAAUUAAAUUUGGAAGAAAAAAAAAUUAUAAUUGAAAUCUCAAUUAUCAACUGCGGCUUAAAAGUAUACUAUUAUUUCGAUAAAAAUAAAUUUAUCAUAAUACAAAUAAAUUAAUAUCUUAAAAAACAAAAAAUUAAAUAUCUUAAAUUAAUAAAUUAUACAAUUUUAUAUAUUAUUUAUAUGCUAUAUAAGUUUAUUAUUUUAAGAUUAUUAAUUUAUUAAUAAAUAAAAUAUUCAUUUAUAAUAUCUUCUAUUUAUCAAUUUAUGUUUAUUGAAGUAAUAUUAGAUUUUUAAAUUUAAAUAUAAAUAAUUUAUUAUUUAAGUAUAUUUUUUAAAUUUCAAUCAUAAAUUGUAAUUUAAUAAUUUUUAAUUAAAUUUUAAAUUUAAAAAAAAAUUAACUGAAGCCGUAGUUGCCAACUGCAGCUUUAGUUCAAAUAUGAAGUUGCAGUUGUCAAUUACGGUUUUAACUAAAAUGACAAAAAAUAAAUAAAUUUUAAAAACAUAGCGCCUACGUGGCACCAAAGAGGCCAAUUUGAACAUAAGUUUCAAAAAGUGAUUAGAUGUUAUAAUUUUUUUAAAAAAAAUGGGCCAUUUUGACCCAAAACUCUAUCAAUUGAACUAGGCUAUUUGAGUAAGCUUGCUCGCGCCUGUUGAACCUGAGCUUGGUUAUAGGCCAAGUUUGAGCAAUUCAACACUCAGCUUGCUUGGUGAGCCACUGCAAUAGUUUAUACAAUGUCAAUGUGCAAACAACCAAUGUUUAGUUAUCCUGGCGCCAGUAGCAUUGCCCUGCUUUGCCAUCCAAUCUCCGAAGAAUAGGUCAUCUUCAGUGAAUGACAAAACACACAUGAGCGCAACACUUCAUCAACAACAUUAAAGAAAAAUUAAAAACAGAAACCAAAAAUCAAAUCCUUUCUUGUUUUAGUCUAUCCAUGCUUCCAAUCUGCAAAAUUUUCAGUUUUGGGAUGUUGGAAUUUGCCUAAUCUGCUGCACUCCAUAAUUUCUAUGAAAUUGUUUGUUUGGUUAUUGUUUCCAGGUGUUUUGACGGUUUCCAAUGCCUCAAAUACCAAAUAUAUAGUUGUGUUGGAGAUAUAGUCUACUGGGCUUGGUUUUGAGGUGUUUUAAGGGCAUCGAAGAUGGCCAGUCUCGUUGUCUAGUCAUGUGAGAAAAUGGGCUUGGUUUCUAAGGAAUAAACAGAAAAAUCUUACCUUAUGUGAGCCUUCUUUAAUCACAGAAAUCAGAUUUUGUGAUGAAAAUAGAAGUUUGUCCUAAAUAUAUAUAUAUAUCCCGUCAGGCUGAACAACUGGGUCAUUCCAGGUUUUAACACACAGAUUUACAUGUUGGGGAAGCAUCCACACCCCUGAUUAUGGCCUAGGCCCUAGACGAGCUUUAAUUAAUUGAAAUUGCAGAGUUGGUAUGAGUCACAUGUCUGUCUACGUGUGCCUGAGUAAGUCCCCUCAUCAUUUGGUUGAAUCCAAACUAUCAACCUCCCAUGACCGUAUGUAAAGGCAAGGAGUGGGUGGUUGAACUUCUCUCGAAUCAUGGGGAUCAUGUGGGUGCCUCACAUUACUCUGUUUCUUUUACAGGUAUAUCUACAGAUCAUUAUUUAUGAAUGGGCGCUUUUCUCUUUUUCUGCAAUUCAAAAAGAUGAUCUCUCCCCUCAUAAACUUUGCCUUUCUUUAGUGUGAUCAAACCACCUCAAGCCCAUCUCUUUCUUCCUGACGUUGAUCCUACGCAUGGGUGGCAAAUUCCUCAGAAAAGUUGUCCCCAUUGGUUCUUGUUAAAGAUGAGAUUCUUAACCACAUCAUUGAAACCUGUAAAGCAGAGCAACCAACUUGGCUUCACCUUUCUUGACCCUGAAAGGAACCCUUGAAUGACCUUUUUAGAUGCAAAUUUCACUCCAUUCACACUCCUUUUUAGCCCUCGGGAUGCUUUAGAAAAACUUAAGGUAAAGAAAACAAAUUAAAAGAAAUUUUAAGAUUGCAUACAGAGACCAAAGACUAAAGAGGGUGAAAGGGGGUGGAUCAGCUUUGAAAGGAUUCCAGAUGACCCAAGAGGGGCUUUUUCAGAGUCUCUUUCUCCCUCCAUUUAUUUGCAACUUGUCUUUACAUGUUGAGGAGAAAGAAUAAGAAUAUGGAAUAGAUCGAUUUUCUUUCACUUUUUGGAAUUUGGGUGGAGGACCACUAAAUUCCUUAUCUCCUCCCCAGGGAUAAGAUAAUGUGUCUUUUGUGUUUUAUGUGCUAGCAAAGUUAUCUCGGCAACAUCCCAUGGUUUUGCGGUUACCACCUGUCACAUAACCCUGCACAAAGAACCUCCUAAAGUGCUGGGAGAUCCUAGAUGUUUCCAUAAUUUCCUUUCCCUAUGUUUCUUAGAUUCAAAGCCCCCCAUAACCUCCUCAUCAGUUCUCAUGCAUGCUUCCGAGCAAUCCUUGAAUUUAGACUUCAAAACCCGUUUCUUUUUCAACUAAAUAUUGCAACCCAAACAAGCCAAAAUGAUUGGCACUAGGCUGAACACAUGCAUGAUUUCAUAGAUUACUAGUUUUAAUGUCUUGAGAAGUUAUGAAGAAAUAAUUUGGUUAUUUUCACUGUUGUUGCAUGUUCUUGAAUGCUAACCUGUUCUGCUUUACAUUUCAUGUCCCUGCAUCCAUAAAAUCCUCAAAACCGGAAAUUUAAGCAUACCAUUGUGUGAGAUGGAUCACAUCUAGGUGAAGACUCCGGUUGAAAGGCUCUGCUUAUGGCUUCCAAUUCACGUAUACAAUCUAGCUUUUCCACUCCAACCCAAAAUCCAAUUUCUCAGGCUAAGUGAUGCUCUGUUCUAAUUUUCUUUAAUUGAUCAUGGAAAGUCUCAUCUCAUAAAGGGUGUUUCGCAUCCAUCUAAAAUUUCCAUAGAAGUGGUCCGUACACACCAGCCCUUUCUGUCUUUAAUAAAAUUGUAAUCAACCCAAUUCGAUCUUCAAAUAUGCAAAAUAUCUCAACAAAGGGACUGAACCAGUGUUGAUUUUACUUCCAAUGGCCCCACAGAGCAAUAAUUGAUAGCAUGCUCAUCACGUGUAGGCACAAUCAUGAAGAAAAUGUUCUCAUUUUCUCUCCCAAUGGGCAAGAGAAACCCUUGAAUCAGAUCUUUACUGUUUAAGAUAAGGAUGAAACAGAUAGAAAAGGGACCAAACACCAGAUCAUGUUUCACCAUGUUUUUGUACAAGACACAGAAAGUGCUUAUGCAUUACAUAUUCAAAGAUACUUCAAUUACACUGGCCUACAAAAUAGAAAACCGAAACAUAACUAGGAAUUCUCCACGGUCGGCCAAGAAAAAAUACCAGCAGACCAAGAUGGAGAUAUCUUACAUGUACAUUAACAACACCUGACUGACUCAACAGCUCCUCUGUCAAUGUCAAAAAACCCAUUGCAGAGGCUACAACUUGGGCCACCAACUGAAACCUAAACUAAAUAACCGAGGAACUACCCUGGAAAAGGCCAAAUUAAAAAAGGACUAAAAACAGAGAUACAAUGUGAU
This 5137-nucleotide long non-coding RNA is filed under the name Vitis vinifera (wine grape). RNAcentral describes it as "long non-coding RNA (VVIN_LNC007886)". The record is from RNAcentral. Lineage: Eukaryota; Viridiplantae; Streptophyta; Magnoliopsida; Vitales; Vitaceae.